This 387-nucleotide unclassified non-coding RNA is filed under the name Hevea brasiliensis (rubber tree). Lineage: Eukaryota; Viridiplantae; Streptophyta; Magnoliopsida; Malpighiales; Euphorbiaceae. The record is from RNAcentral.
GAUAAGAAGGUUAGCAUCGCCAAAAAGGUACUUAAAAAAAGCCUCAAGAUUGAGUCCUUUGCGGUGGAAAAUGUUCAAAUGUUUAAGCUCAUGAAGAUGAUCAAAGAUAGCCUGAGCUUCCUCUAUAGUAGCCUUGUCUUGUUUCUGAACCUCUAGAAGGAAGCGGCGGAGAUGAUCAACGGUCAUAAGGCCAUUCUCAGAGUACUGACCAAACAAAGCCUUGAUCUCUUCAGGAGCCUCCGCCACCGCCAACUUGAACCUCCGGCGGAAACACAAGCACACUUUGUAGGUCUGCUUGGACAUCUCAGAAAUGGGUAUGGAAGGAAACCUAGAUAGCGAAAGAGAAAGGAGAGGAAUGAGUUUUGUCUGUUUUAGAUUGCUUCUGGU